UUCCAGGUGGCAACAAUUGCAGCUGUUAAACAUCUGCUUUUAGAACCUUUGAAUGAUUUGAGUGAUGAGGAGAUCAAGAAAUUUAAGAGGCUCCUGCAGAUGAUCAUUCCUUGGAGGAAUCGGUCAUUCUUCUCAUAUAACUUGAGUCGGUCAUCAAUCAUAGCAGAUUUAAUGAAUCUGAUGAUGGAUAAAGUUGGUCAGCAGUCUGUGGAGGUGACCAGAGAAGUUUUCAUGCGCAUGAACAGAACUGAUCUGGUGCAGAAGUUAUCAGAGAGCAGCUCAGCAUCCAGAGUCUGGCCGAGCACUUAUUUUUGAGUCAAAGGUGGCCUUGCUCUAGAAGCCUUCAUUAUUAAAAGAAACACUCUGUGGAUGAACAUGGAGCUGCACUGUUGAAGAGAAUAGAAGCACAGGAAGCUGUUACACAGAUUCUCUUGGAAACACUGAAUGAAUUCAGUCAAAAUGACCUCAAGAAAUUCAAGCAGGUGCUGCCGUUCAC
Molecule: long non-coding RNA, 496 nt
Organism: Oreochromis aureus
Lineage: Eukaryota; Metazoa; Chordata; Actinopteri; Cichliformes; Cichlidae
Source: Ensembl